This is an RNA transcript of Hemibagrus wyckioides, 6014 nucleotides long. RefSeq lists it as uncharacterized. NCBI's taxonomy places the organism in Eukaryota, Metazoa, Chordata, Actinopteri, Siluriformes, Bagridae. The transcript is spliced from 4 exons. The record is from RefSeq and is a predicted model, not a curated record.
UCUGUUCUGGCCAAGAACACUGCCUUGAAUUUUGGAUUGCCUACAAGCUCUGCAGAAUUCUCAAUUUUCCUUGUUCACAAGGUAUAAUUUUCUGCAACAGAAGCUCUGAGAGUGGUGCAGUGCAAGAACAGUGAGCAACAAUAUGGAAAACAAAAUAAAAAAUAAUAACAACUACACUAAACUAAGCACUGGUAAUCCUUCAGUGUACCUACUGAAUCUGAGAGACACAGGAAGUGGUGCUCUUCACAAAAAAGACUUUGGACAUACUUGUCAUUGUACUCAUCCAAACAAAACAAUAAUGCUCAUGGGUGCUACUGGCUCUGGAAAGAGCACUCUCAUUAAUGGCAUGAUCAACUAUAUACUCGGAGUGGAGUGGAGUGAUUCAUGUAGAUUUAAACUGAUAGAUGAGCAAACCAAUAAAACACAAGCCGAGAGCCAGACUUCAGACGUUACAGCAUAUCAGAUUCACCAUCAAAAUGACUUCCAGGUUCCCUAUUCAGUCACAAUCAUAGACACACCAGGGUUUGGAGACACGAGAGGAAUUGCACAAGACAAGGAGAUCACUGAGAAAAUCAGAAAGUUCUUUUCUGAAAAAGAUGGCAUCCUUACUCUUGAUGCUGUUUGUUUUGUGGUACAGUCAGCUUUAGCUCGACUAACCCAUACCCAGAAAUACAUUUUUGAAGCUAUUCUUUCAAUCUUUGGAAAAGACAUAGCAAACAAUAUCACUGUUAUGAUAACAUUUGCUGAUGGACAGAAACCUCCUGUACUAGAAGCCAUUAAAGCUGCUGAUAUCCCUUGUGGAAAAAAGGAAGAUGGAACACUCCUUCAUUUCAAAUUCAACAAUUCUGCACUUUUUGCUCAGAAUAUAGACUUGGAUGAUGAAGACAACUUUGAUGAAAUGUUCUGGAAAAUGGGCAAAGGAAGCAUGAAACGAUUCUUUAAUCACUUAGGGACAAUGGAAACCAAAAGUCUUCAGCUCACAAAAGAAGUUCUGUCUGAACGCAAAACCUUAGAGACAGUUGUAGAUGGAGUGCAACCCCUCAUCCAAACCGGACUGGAAAAACUUGAUGAAAUCAAAAUGACAAGAUCGGUACUGGAAGAAAACCAGAAUGUCAUAAAGGAAAAUGAAAAUUUUGAAUAUGAGAUUGAAAUACCAAAGUGUAAGAAAAUUGACAUUGAAAGGGGAAAAUUUGUAACAAAUUGUCAUGGCUGCAACUUCACCUGCCAUUAUCCAUGUGCCUAUUCAAAUGAUCAAGAUAAACAACGUUGUUCAUCAAUGAAAAACGGCAACUGUACAGUGUGUCCUGGUAAAUGCGUGUGGAAUGUGCAUCACAACAUGCCAUUCAGAUUUGAAACUGAACUUGUAAAAGAGAAAAGGACAUAUGCAAAUCUGAAAAAGCAAUAUGAAGAGGCUUUAGGGAAAAGUAUGACAAUAGAGAAAAUCAACAAGCAGUUGGAGGAGGAAUAUAUGGAUGUACAAGAACAAGUCUUGAAGUUAAAUGAUAAACUUGCCAGAAGCCUGACACGUCUGAAGGAAAUUGCUCUCCGCCCUGAUCCCCUGUCCACACCAGAAUACAUUGAACUACUGAUUGAGUCUGAGAAGCAAUCUGCCAAAGCAGGGUACAAAAAUCGCAUUGCUGAACUGGAGGAGAUAAAAAAACGUGCUUUGAUUGUGCAGAAAGUGGAGAGAGGAGAACCACUUGCUGAACACGAGGAGGUCUGGAAGCCAAGGGAAAAAAUUGCUCAAAAAUUAAAUGGCUUGUUUAAUAAUAUGGUAACAUGGUACAAUAAACCUAAAGUUUCUAGUUUCUAAAUUUAGAAACUAGAAAAAAAAACAUACCUUUGCAGUGCUAGUGACAUAAGACAGGCAUAAAUCAAUGACUUUUUUUUCCAAAGGAAAUUAUUCAGCUGUAUAUUCAACUUCUGCCUGUAUAUUGUAAAUUACAUGAUAAAAUCAGAUAAAUCUUUUCUGCAUAUAAUUUUAGUAUUCUGACUUUUUUUGGAUCAACAUAAAUGUGAUUUGUUUUUCUGCUUAUGUGCAAGUACGUUGCACUUAACGUACAGCAUGAUGUCUGCAGCAGGCUCUAAAUGCAAAUAACUAAUUAAAAAGAAGCAGAAAGUACAUAGUAGAUGUAAAUUGCAUGUUUUUUUUUAGUUAACAACUUCUUUUGAUUUUCUCGUCUCAUGAUAUAAUGUAUAAAAAAGUUUUGCUGUAAUUUUUUUCAGUGAAAACUACAUUAAUCAGUAAAUAUUCCAUAUCUCUGCCAUUUUCUAAUUAUUUUUAAAAAUUACAUACAUAUUGAUACUGGAUUUGCAAAGGUCAUGCAAAAAAUCCCCAAACCAGGUUCAAGGAUAUGUUUGUUUAUAUUUAGUAUAAACUGUAUUUUAUUUGGCCAGCUAACAAAAUCCAAUAACUUCACAAUAAUUUGUGAUCUAUUCUUGUAAAAAAUAUUCGUUUCCUGUAAAUGUAAAAUUCUAAUAUUGUAAAUUUCGAUAUUACUUUUUCUACUAAUUUGUCACUGUUUAGCCAAAUCUCAUUUCUAUACCAAGGUACAUUCACAUUUUUGCCAUUUGGCAGCUGCCCUUAUCCAAAGCGACUUCAAUUUGAUCUCAUGAUCGUCUCCAGUUGUCUAGCCAUUACAGUUUGGCCCUUGUCAAACUCGCUCAAAGCCUUACGCUUGCCCAUUUUUCCUGCGUCUAACACAUCAACUUUGAGGACAAAAUGUUCACUUGCUGCCUAAUAUAUCCCACCCACUAACUAAUAUUUAGUGUUAUUCACUUCAGUUGUCAGUGCUCAUAAUGUUAUAGCUGAUCGGUGUACAUUAAUACAUAUAGUAAUAGCUAAUUUACAGGGACUUAAAUAGCAGAUAUUCCACAUAAUCUAAUAAUCUAAUAAUUCUUGCUUACAUUUAAAAAUGUAUUAUCAUUUUGACUCUUUCUAUAUGUGGAUCUUUAUUUAAAGUUUAUCGAAAAUCCAGUCCUUCAGUCCUUUGUAACUAUAAAAUGAAACAUGUUGGCAAAUGCCUGGCAAAUGGUCUGCCACUGCUGUGAAUUUGAAAAGGUUCUAACCCUUUCUCACAGUACACUAGUUUUCAAAAAUCAGCUGAAAAUGGCUUAUCUGAUAUUUUUAAUCAGUAUAAUAUUAUAAAAUAUAGUAAAACAGUAAAAUAUAACAGUAAAAUAUAUAAUAAUAUUUUAUAUAUUAAUAGUUAUGUUAUCAUGUCAAGAUUAGUCAGGACACUUUUGGGUUUCUGCCUGAUAAUCUGGGGCUCUUCUGAUGGAUCCAUAGUCAGCAGCUUACACAAAGUGAGUGGCAUGCUAAAUCAAAAAUACUACCACAGUAUUUUGAGUCACGGUGUAAUACCCUCUACCUAGUUGGUCAGAGGUUCAUCCUACAGCAAGACAAUGAUUCAAAAUGAUAUCUCCAGGCUGUGUUAGAACUAGCUUAAAAGAAAAUAAUAAGAUGGUAGGCUUCAAAUCAUGGAAUGGCUGUAGAAUUAAACUCCAUCCAGCUGGUUUGGGAUGAACUGGACAGAAGAGUGAAAGUAAAGCAACCUACAAGUGCAACAUAUCUGCAACAGUGUUGGAAAGAACUUUUCAAACAAUAUUUAAUUUCCGUUGAAGAAUGCCACAAAUGUGUUCAACUGUUAUAUCUGCGAAAGAUGGCUACUUUGAUGAAUCAAAAGUUUGCAUUAGAUUUUGCUAAUCAGUGUGAUGUCUAAUUGUUAAGGUGUUCUGUGCGUUAAUGUCAGAGUACACUGAGACAUUAGCCUAUGUAAAUUUCUGUAAAAAGUUGAAAAAUAUAGGUGCUCUAAAACUUUUGAACAGUAAUGUAUAUUGGAAGCACUCCUCAUUCAAUUAUCGUCCGGGUGCUGAAUGGAUAGCACUGGUAUAGCAACCCCAGUGAAGUAAACAUAAGACCUCGUGGUGUGACGGCAAAAACUCUCCUCACAGCUAGCCAGUCAGAGGGUCAGCAGGAACUCCUCACCCUCAGUUAGAAGCACGGAAAAUAUCAAGGGGCCCAGCAGACUCAGUGUGGUAAGACAAUAAAUGGGGAUUUACUGAAACUGAACGCUACAAUGACUUCAGUGACUCAGACAUUAGGAAACAAUACCUGUAGGUUGUACAGUUUCACAGUAAAGCUGAGUGUACUUAGCAUUCAAUAAUCAAACUGGAACUCGGCAUACCUGAUAUCAGUUUAAACAAAUGAAUUAUUUUAUUGCUACAAGUCUAUAAGAUGAGAGAGAAAGGAGAGGGAAAAGUACAAAGGGAGUAUAAGGGAAAGGGAAAAGUACAAAAGAAAAACCAACGACAAAUUCCCCAGGUAUCAGUUGGCAUGUAACUGAUAUGAUAAGAUUUGACUUACAGAGCUGGUGCAAAAAUAAUUGGCUGAUAUUCUUGAACAUUGUGAAUAGUAUAUGUAUGAUAAAGUAUCAUGAGUAAAUUCUCCGUGAUGCCUUCUCAAUCCGUUUACAAUCUUUUUAUGCGCUCUAAUCGCAUAAGGAAUCGCACAAGACAAAGAGAUCACUGAGAAAAUCAGGAAGUUCUUCUGCAUAUUUCUGAUUACUUUUGUUGUUAUUGAAUCAACUUAAAUGUGAUUUUUUUUCUGCUUAACUGCAAGUAUGUUAUUUUUAGCACGGUGUCUUCAGCAGGCUCUAAAUUCUGAAUAGAACUUGCAUGUUUUGUGAAUUAAUAAAUCUACAAUUAAAUCAAUUUCUUCUGAUUUUGUCUAAUUAUACAAUGCAUAGAAAAAUGUUGCUGUAAUUGUUCAGUAAAUACUACAUUAACCAGUAAAUCUAUUUCUUUGCCAGUAUUUUUAAUAAUUACAUACGUAUUGAUACUGGAUUCACAAAGGAUCCCAAAACCAGGUUCAUGGCUGCCUACUGUAGAUUAAAUGGUCUGUGAAUGUAAUUCAUAUGUCUACCUUAUACAUACUACAAACUGCAUGACAAUAAUUUGAGAAUGAAUUUAUUACUAUGAAAAUAUUCCUAUGCAAAUGUAAAAUCCUAAUAUUGUGAAUCUUAUUAUAAAUAAAAUAAAGAAUUUAAUUUUCAUUUAGUUUUUUUAUUUUUUAUUUUUGAUAUAAGAAUGAAUCUGUUUGUAGUGAGUCACACACUUGGAUUGUGCGCCAAAGCAGAGCUGUAAUGAGCAGGGUGUGGUUUAAUCGCAAUAUGAUUGGGGAGUGUAUAUAUAUUCCGGGGUAUGGGGUAUGGGUCGCCACCCGGUGUGCAUCAUAGCUCAGGGCCUCUGAUGCGUUUACGGUAUGUAUAGUGGCUACUUGGCUAAGGCCAAUUAGACUGCUUUAUGCUUUAUGAUCUUUGGUUUUCUUGCCUUUCUCCCCCUUAGCCGAUAGUGUUUUGUUUUUCAGUCAUCAUAGUGGAUGUGUGGGCCAUUGGCUGACCUCCCCCCCGGUUACCUUCCGCCGAAUGCAAUUUAGAUCGUGGGAAACCUUUGGCCUCGGGGUGUGUAUCAUAGGAAUUCUGGCCGUAGUGGUAAAAUGAUGGUGGGUAAAAUAAGGUGUUAAAUAUUGCGAUGAAUUGGUGCAUAAUGUAAAAUCGUUUUUUGUUUUUCAGGUGAAGACUACAAUCACAGGAAAGAAAUAGCUUCUUGGAUAUCUGACAUUGCAGGGCAGCAUCCUGCAGCACUGUUGUCUUACACACGAAACUGCUACUGAUGGUUUUAUGAAUGAGCUCGCUGUCUUCAUGAAAACUACUGUUCGAGUCAAGCCCCAGGGCAGGCCUCAAGUUGUCCUUCCUGUUUGGUGGUGGUGCUUCCUUCACUGCGUGCUGUGUGGCUGUGCAUGAUCCCACUGGUGUGCGGUGCGAGUGAGUUGAGUGUGUAUUUGUCGAGGUAUUUUUGAGUAGGCCAAUAAGGAAGUUGAGGCUGGGUUGCCUGGCCUGGGUUGACUCUGGCUCCUAGUGUAUUCAUGUUUGCUUAUUUGUAUUUGUGAGUGUGUGUGUAGACAAGUGGGUGACAGUCCUUUCCGGUCUUUAUUGUAGUGGUUGAUCUUUUGU